RNAcentral lists this ribosomal RNA (508 nucleotides) under Gnetum parvifolium. RNAcentral describes it as "SSU rRNA". It matches the Rfam family "Eukaryotic small subunit ribosomal RNA", at positions 779 to 1288 of the family's 1831-position model. The record is from RNAcentral. Lineage: Eukaryota; Viridiplantae; Streptophyta; Gnetopsida; Gnetales; Gnetaceae.
AGCAAGCCUAUGCUGUGAAUACAUUAGCAUGGAAUAACGCGAUAGGAUUUCGAUCCUGUUGUGUUGGCCUUCGGGAUGGGAGUAAUGAUUAAUAGGGACUGUCGGGGGCAUUCGUAUUUCAUUGUCAGAGGUGAAAUUCUUGGAUUUAUGAAAGACGAACUAGUGCGAAAGCAUUUGCCAAGGAUGUUUUCAUUAAUCAAGAACGAAAGUUGGGGGCUCGAAGACGAUCAGAUACCGUCCUAGUCUCAACCAUAAACGAUGCCGACCAGGGAUCGGCGGAUGUUGCUCUUAGGACUCCGUCGGCACCUUCCGAGAAAUCAGAGUGUUUGGGUUCCGGGGGGAGUAUGGUCGCAAGGCUGAAACUUAAAGGAAUUGACGGAAGGGCACCACCAGGAGUGGAGCCUGCGGCUUAAUUUGAAUGAACACGGGAAAACUUACCAGGUCCAGACAUAGUAAGGAAUAAGAGAUUGAGAGCUCUUUCUUGAUUCUAUGGGUGGUGGUGCAUGGC